This 83-nucleotide small RNA is filed under the name Polaribacter sp. SA4-12. Its description in RNAcentral is "Flavo-1 RNA". It matches the Rfam family "Flavo-1 RNA". The record is from Rfam by way of RNAcentral. Lineage: Bacteria; Pseudomonadati; Bacteroidota; Flavobacteriia; Flavobacteriales; Flavobacteriaceae.
UGAAUGCUAUGCAUUUGAAACGGCAUCCUUUUUAUGUUGAAUUUUUUCAGUAUAAAAAGAUACAGUGGAAAGCGCGACCUUUU